This 868-nucleotide unclassified non-coding RNA is filed under the name Oryza eichingeri. RNAcentral describes it as "partial contains tRNA-Leu and trnL-trnF intergenic spacer". The stretch from base 1 to 452 matches the Rfam family "Group I catalytic intron", at positions 73 to 253 of the family's 253-position model. Rfam says of the family: Group I catalytic introns are large self-splicing ribozymes. They catalyse their own excision from mRNA, tRNA and rRNA precursors in a wide range of organisms. Lineage: Eukaryota; Viridiplantae; Streptophyta; Magnoliopsida; Poales; Poaceae. The record is from RNAcentral.
GAAUUAAAAAAGGGGCAAUCCUGAGCCAAAUCCGUGUUUUGAGAAAACAAGCGGUUCUCGAACUAGAACCCAAAGGAAAAGGAUAGGUGCAGAGACUCAAUGGAAGCUGUUCUAACGAAUCGAGUUAAUUACGUUGUGUUGCUAGCGGAACUCCCUUCUAAAUUAGGGAAAGAAGGGCUUUCGAAAUCUAAUACACACGUAUAGAUACUGGCAUAGCAAACGAUUAAUCACAGAACUCAUAUCAUAAUAUAGGUUCUUUAAUUCUUUUUAAAAAUGAAAAUAGGAAUGAUUAUGAAAUAGAAAAUUCAUAAUUUUUUUAGAAUUGUUGUGAAUCCAUUCCAAUCGAAUAUUGAGUAAUCAAAUCCUUCAAUUCAUAGUUUUCGAAAUCUUUUAAAAAGUGGAUUAAUCGGACGAGGAUAAAGAGAGAGUCCCAUUCUACAUGUCAAUACUGACAACAAUGAAAUUUCUAGUAAAAGGAAAAUCCGUCGACUUUCUAAGUCGUGAGGGUUCAAGUCCCUCUAUCCCCAAACCCUCUUUUAUUCCCUAACUCUAGUAUUUAUCCUGUUUUUUUUAUUAAUAGGUUUAAGAUUCAUUAGCUUUAUCAUUCUGCUCUUUCACAAAGGAGUGCCAAGAGAACUCAAUGGAUCUUAUGUUAUUCAUUGAAUACAUUUCUUUUUUAUUAUAGUAUCGGCAAGGAAUGUUGAUUAUUAACUCGAUAUUUAAAUAUUAUUAAAUAGGCUUUCUUUGUACAAUGCAUAGGACUGCCCCCUCCCCAUUUCCAAAUUUUGGAUUUGGAAUACUUUAUUGAUUUUUUAGCCCCUUUAAUUGACAUAGAUACAAAUACUCUACUAGGAUGAUGCACAAGAAA